This 256-nucleotide ribosomal RNA is filed under the name uncultured bacterium. RNAcentral describes it as "partial 16S ribosomal RNA". It matches the Rfam family "Bacterial small subunit ribosomal RNA", at positions 521 to 776 of the family's 1533-position model. The record is from RNAcentral.
UAAUACGUAGGGGGCGAGCGUUGUCCGAAUUUACUGGGCGUAAAGCGCGUGUAGGCGGUUCUUUAAGUCAGAUGUGAAAUCCUGUGGCUCAACCACAGAACUGCAUUUGAAACUGAAGGGCUUGAGUGUGGGAGAGGAAAGUGGAAUUCCUGGUGUAGCGGUGAAAUGCGUAGAUAUCAGGAGGAACACCCGUGGCGAAGGCGGCUUUCUGGCCCACCACUGACGCUGAGACGCGAAAGCUAGGGGAGCGAACGGG